GCAUGCGUAAUGGUGCUUUAAAUAAUCGACUUAAUAGUAAAUAAAUGUACAUUAUUUACUUUUUAAAUAAAGUUCAAUACCACAAAUGAUGGCUCGGAGUGAGAACUCCUAACCACUUAAUAUGAAUCGGGACAAUCAGUGUGACGAACAACGUUCCGCCUGACUCCUCAACACGGAGUUAUUUUGUCGAAGGAUCCAGGAAGUGUGCCCCCUACAAAGUGCGGCUGAAAGUUUCUACCGCAUUUAAUUUUGAUGAAUAGCGCACUAGUUCAUGAAAUAGUAAGAUAUGGCGACACAGCGUUACGUUUCUUGCAUCUUAUGCCAGCGGGCAAGCGUCGUGAGGAGGAUAGCGACGAUAAGGAGUUUGAGCGUAGCUGCAAACCCGCAGUCCAAACCAGAUUUUCUCAAAGGAGAACCACACAAACGACAUCCGGGGCUGACCCACCUCAAAACACUCCGUCUGCCUGAGGAACUCCUGAUGGCCGCCCGCUCAAUUAUCCACAGAUCUCAGGUGGCGCAGCUUCCCGACCGAGCUCGCAAGUUGACCAACUUCUUGUGGAGCAGGAAGCGAGCCACGGAGGACUCGGCCGUGAGGAAGAUGGCGGUGAGUCUGGAGAAGGAACUGUGGGAGAAGGCCAUGGAGAAAGGAGGAGAUUUAGACGAGCAAGCCAUAGCUGACCGCAUCCAGAGGAGGGUGUUGUCUGACCUCCGCCGGACAUUUUAUCACUGGACUCCAUUGAAGUAUGACGAGGAGCUCGGUGCGGUUUACAUGGCAGCCAAGAUGGCUGGAGGCUACGCUGCCGUGAGGAGGGCUCUCAACGAGAUAAAGAAGCGUGAUCCCACCUUUGCUCCUCAGUCCGUCCUGGAUUUCGGGUCCGGGCUGGGAACGGUGGCCUGGGCAUCCCACGCUUGCUGGUCUGACACACUGAAUGAGCUGGUGUGUGUGGACAGAUCAGGGCCUAUGAACAUUCUGGCAGAACGGCUUCUUAAAGGUGACGACGAACAUGCUGAAACUCACAUCAAACACGUCUACUUCAGACAGUUCCUCCCCGUGUCCCCCAAGGUGCAGUUUGACUUGGUGUCGUCUGCCUUCACGUUGUCGGAAAUUCCCAACGCGCAAGAGCGGCAAGAGGCAGUUGUCACGCUGUGGAGAAAGACUGCCACCUACCUGCUAUUGGUGGAAAACGGCACCAAAGAAGGUCAUCAAAUGCUAAUGGAGGCCCGAGACACUCUUUUACAAAACAAAGACAAAACCGUCUAUGACACCAGACCGGCUUCGGUGUUUGCACCGUGUCCACACGAAGCCACGUGUCCCAAACUCAAGUUAGCGUCUGUCACGCCUUGCAACUUCCAGCAGUUGUACAUGCCGCUAUAUGGGUUGUUGUUUUUUAAAGCACAACAGUCAGACAGAGAAGUUCAGCUACCUGAUUAUGACCCGAGAGCGGCGGCGCCCCCCAGAGGCUGAUGCGCUGGUGGACUGGUCUAGGCUGAUAGCGCCCCCGCAGCCCAGGACGAGACACGUGCACUGCCACUUGUGUCGCCCCAAUGGUCGCCUGGAGCACGUGGUGGUGACCGCCCACAAACAUGGACGAGACGUGUAUCGCUGCGCCCGGAGCAGUGAAUGGGGUGACCAACUUCCUCUGGUUCAGGACAACUGACCAAAAUAUUGAAGAGUGAUGAUGAUGCGGAAACAACAACAUGCUAAUAAAAUCCAGCAACAUGCUGCUUAAGAAAUUA
RNA transcript from Phyllopteryx taeniolatus (common seadragon), 1737 nucleotides. It is a transcript of the gene named methyltransferase like 17, with no coding region annotated. The record is from RefSeq and is a predicted model, not a curated record. The transcript is spliced from 13 exons. NCBI's taxonomy places the organism in Eukaryota, Metazoa, Chordata, Actinopteri, Syngnathiformes, Syngnathidae.